AUGAGUCUCGAGUAUCAGAUGUUGGGCAAGUGCGACAAGGUUAUUGUAUCCAAUGAUAACUGCGUCAUCCUGGCUGGAGCUGGAGACGAAGAGUCCAUUAAAAACAAAACUCAGGAGCUGAAAAAUGUGACCGAACUAAGCACUUCUUACCACCACGAUGAAAAGACGCUGGUAAAGCUUUACCGUCGUGCUGUUAUUAUGAAGGUUGGUGGAGCAAGCAAAGAAAAGGUUGUCGAAAAUAGGGAGAUGGUGGCAGAUGCGCUGAGCAGUACACGGGCUGCAAUCAAGGAGGGUAUUGUCGCAGGUGAUGGUGCUGCCCUCCUUUAUGCAUCAAAAUUCCUAGAUAACUUGCAUACUGCUAAUAUUGGACAACAAAGGGGUGUUCAGAUUGUUCAAAAUGCGCUUAAGACUCCUGUGUACGACAUGGCCUCCAUUGCUGGCAAACCAGGGGACGUCAUUGUUCAGAAACUCCUAGAGCAGGAUAACAGUGAUCUGAUAUACGAUGCCACUCAAGGUGAAUACGUGGACAUGGUGAAGGCGUCUUGCAUUGAUACGGUCGGAACGGUCAAAAGAGCCAUGAUGGAUGUCAAAGGAGAAGCAUGCUUAAUGAUAUCCACGCACGCAUCAGUCUUGAGCCCUUGA
RNAcentral lists this ribosomal RNA (642 nucleotides) under Triticum aestivum (bread wheat). Its description in RNAcentral is "partial small subunit ribosomal RNA". The record is from RNAcentral. Lineage: Eukaryota; Viridiplantae; Streptophyta; Magnoliopsida; Poales; Poaceae.